GGAAGCGUAUCGUCACCGGUGUGGCGCCUGGACUUCAAAUCCAGUGGGCGGCCGAAAGGUCGCCGGUAGGUUCGACUCCUAUACGCUUCCGCCA
RNAcentral lists this transfer RNA (94 nucleotides) under Desulfonauticus sp. RNAcentral's name for it is "tRNA-Sec". It matches the Rfam family "Selenocysteine transfer RNA". Lineage: Bacteria; Pseudomonadati; Thermodesulfobacteriota; Desulfovibrionia; Desulfovibrionales; Desulfonauticaceae. The record is from RNAcentral.